Molecule: non-coding RNA, 95 nt
Organism: Acanthosepion pharaonis
Lineage: Eukaryota; Metazoa; Mollusca; Cephalopoda; Sepiida; Sepiidae
Source: the annotation of a GenBank genome assembly
GAGAAACACCCGUUCCUGUAUGAUUUCCGAUGUUAAGCAAUGUCGAGCCUGGUCAGUACUUAAAAGGAUGUCUACUUGGGAAAACCUGGUGCUGU